UCGGAUCGGUCCAUCUCUAAUAUAUAUAUAAUCUUUCUUUUAAUUAUUUAGACCAAUAGGCUGUACCACAUCCCUUUGUAACACCAUUUUGUUUCCAUUGCACAGGACAGUGAAGCAACCCUGUCAGAUGACUCUGGUUUGGAGGAAGUCCCUGCAAAGAGGCCGGCAGAGAGGCCUGAUACAGAGGGUGACAUUCGUUUGCUCUAUAAGAGAAGUCUCCAGCAAAAAAUGGAGUAUACUGAGCUAAAGAAACAAAAGCUUCUAGGUGAAAUCGAACUUCAAGCUCUAAUGAGGC
This is a long non-coding RNA of Oreochromis niloticus (Nile tilapia), 295 nucleotides long. RefSeq lists it as uncharacterized. The record is from RefSeq and is a predicted model, not a curated record. The transcript is spliced from 3 exons. NCBI's taxonomy places the organism in Eukaryota, Metazoa, Chordata, Actinopteri, Cichliformes, Cichlidae.